This 446-nucleotide ribosomal RNA is filed under the name uncultured bacterium. RNAcentral's name for it is "partial 16S ribosomal RNA". It matches the Rfam family "Bacterial small subunit ribosomal RNA", at positions 338 to 795 of the family's 1533-position model. The record is from RNAcentral.
CCUACGGGUGGCAGCAGUCGAGAAUCAUUCACAAUGGGGGAAACCCUGAUGGUGCGACGCCGCGUGGGGGAAUGAAGGUCUUCGGAUUGUAAACCCCUGUCAUGUGGGAGCAAAUUAAAAAGAUAGUACCACAAGAGGAAGAGACGGCUAACUCUGUGCCAGCAGCGGAGGUAAUACAGAGGUCUCAAGCGUUGUUCGGAAUCACUGGGCGUAAAGCGUGCGUAGGCUGUUUCGUAAGUCGGGUGUGAAAGGCGCGGGCUCAACCCGCGGACGGCACAUGAUACUGGGAGACUAGAGUACUGGAGGGGGAACCGGAAUUCUCGGUGUAGCAGUGAAAUGCGUAGAUAUCGAGAGGAACACUCGUGGCGAAGGCGGGUUCCUGGACAUUAACUGACGCUGAGGCACGAAGGCCAGGGGAGCGAAAGGGAUUAGAUACCCCUGUAGUC